UACGUAGGGUGCAAGCGUUGUCCGGAAUCAUUGGGCGUAAAGCGCGUGUAGGCGGCCCGAUAAGUCCGCUGUGAAAGUCCAGGGCUCAACCCUGGAAUGCCGGUGGAUACUGUCGGGCUCGAGUCCGGAAGAGGCGAGUGGAAUUCCUGGUGUAGCGGUGAAAUGCGCAGAUAUCAGGAGGAACACCGAUGGCGAAGGCAGCUCGCUGGUCCAUUACUGACGCUGAGGCGCGAAAGCGUGGGGAGCAAACAGG
Molecule: ribosomal RNA, 253 nt
Filed under: uncultured bacterium
Lineage: Bacteria
Description: partial 16S ribosomal RNA
Rfam family: Bacterial small subunit ribosomal RNA
Source: RNAcentral